AUGAGGCGAAGCAGCCGGAGCGUGGUGAGGCUGGAGGCGGAAUUCAUCGAAUCGGAGGAAACGGCCCCAAAAAGGAGCGGCGGUGAGGCCCCGCAAUGGGGCAGGGAGGGGGGGGCUCUUGUCGUUGCAGGCAUUGCUUGGCCACAAAGCACCCCGGAAUUCCGUGUGAUGGGGGCAGAUUUUGGGAUAAAAAAAAACGACGGAAAUGGUGAAUACGUAUUUUUUUGGGGGGAAAAAAAAAUAACAAAAAAAAAAAGGAAAAAAAAAAGGAAAAAAAUGAGAAUUCAACCCCAAAUCCAACGUCAUCACGCUCCGGCUGUAAAGUGUUGUAGGUACCGGUGGUGCGCCGCAGAGUGUAGCCUUGAACCGUCGGAUUUUGAGGGAAAAAAAGGCAAAAAAAAAAAAAAGAGGGUGUUGGCAGCAAGGGAUCUACGCACAGAUCAGUGAAAGCACCAAAACCGCAGGAAAUUGCCCCAAAACCGAGGCAGCGUGGACGCCCGACACGAAAAGGCAGAGAGAACCCGGCAGCAAAACCUCCCAAAAAAACGUGUAGGAAAGGGAGAAAAUAGGUAUUUGUGCUGUUUUUCACCCAAAUUGGAGAUGUGAACGGACUCGGGGCGAUGGCUUCAGAAAGGCGGUGUUUCACCCCGGGUGGGUCGUCCCCAUUCCAGCCCCAAUUUGACUCAAUUUCCCACCCAUUUCAAAAUGGAAAAGCGAACAGUGGCUGGAAAUGCCCCCAAAGUGGCUGAAAAUGCCCCCGAAAUGGCUGAAAAUGCCCCCAAAAAUGGCAGGAAUUGCCCCAAAAUGAGCAGCCCGCACGGCGAUGCGCAGCUCCGUGCCCUUCAGCGGGCAUCGCAGCGGAAGAAAUUGCUUUUUGGUGACAGCAGUGCUGUGCACUGAGGGGAGGGGGGGGAGGUUUGUGACCAUUUCCCAGUUUUUCUCCCCAAAACUGCAGUGGUGACGCGGGGUUUUGGGGAGGGGGAUGUGUUGUGUUGUGUUGUUUUUUUUUUCUCCCCCCCCCCCCCCNNNNNNNNNNNNNNNNNNNNNNNNNNNNNNNNNNNNNNNCCUCCCCACUCUCCAUUGAGGCAGCGCCGCAGCGACAUAAAACGGCCUCAAAUUGGCCCAAAGAGGAGCAUUGCUAAAAAUGACUAAAAAUUAGAAAAACAAACAAUCAAACAAACAAACAAAAACCCCAAAAAGAGCACAAAACCCCUUAAAAAAGAGGCAGGAAAAAACCCAAGUGAGCUGAGUAAGUACCAGCGGCCGGCCCCAAACCCCGCUUCGUCAGCUCGGUGCGCGCCGGGGAGAUGAACCCGACCCCAAAAUGCUGCUUUCUGUGUCCUUUUUCUCUGUUGUUUUUCUUUUUUUUUUUUGCUCCGGCCCCAAAAAGCCGCUUUCUGAGCCCAUUCUGUGCUGGGGCAGCAUGACGCUCCCAAAACGAACGCAC
This 1447-nucleotide long non-coding RNA is filed under the name Chrysolophus pictus (golden pheasant). RNAcentral describes it as "lncRNA (ENSCPIG00010003829.1)". The record is from RNAcentral. Lineage: Eukaryota; Metazoa; Chordata; Aves; Galliformes; Phasianidae.